RNAcentral lists this ribosomal RNA (603 nucleotides) under uncultured fungus. RNAcentral's name for it is "eukaryotic LSU rRNA". The stretch from base 244 to 397 matches the Rfam family "5.8S ribosomal RNA". Lineage: Eukaryota; Fungi. The record is from RNAcentral.
AAGUCGUAACAAGGUCUCCGUAGGUGAACCUGCGGAGGGAUCAUUAAUGAGAUAGGGUCUCGUCCUCGGACAGGCCCGACCUCCCAACCCUUUGUUGACCAAACCAAUACGUUGCUUCGGCGGACCGGUCGCAAGACCGCCGGGAUGGUUCACACCGUCUUGGAGCGCGUCCGCCGAUGGCCUUAUAUUAAACUCUUGUUGUAACCAUGUCGUCUAAUACUUGAUUGUCGAAUGACAAACAAAAACUUUCAACAACGGAUCUCUUGGUUCUGGCAUCGAUGAAGAACGCAGCGAAAUGCGAUAAGUAGUGUGAAUUGCAGAAUUCAGUGAAUCAUCGAAUCUUUGAACGCACCUUGCGCCCUCUGGUAUUCCGGAGGGCAUGCCUGUUUGAGUGUCAUGUAGACUCAACCCCUCGGGUUUCCGAGAAGGUUGGAUUUGGACGCUCGCCUGUCAUGGGCUCGUCUUAAAGGUCUUAGCGGUUACACAGCACCGUAGUCGGCGUAAUAAGUUUCGUCGAUGAGGGUGUGGUGUCUGCUUACAAUCGCCUCACGGCAAUCUUUUGACUCUGACCUCAAAUCAGGUAGGACUACCCGCUGAACUUAA